This 253-nucleotide ribosomal RNA is filed under the name uncultured bacterium. RNAcentral describes it as "partial 16S ribosomal RNA". It matches the Rfam family "Bacterial small subunit ribosomal RNA", at positions 524 to 776 of the family's 1533-position model. The record is from RNAcentral.
UACAGAGGGUGCGAGCGUUAUUCGGAAUUACUGGGCGUAAAGCGUGCGCAGGCGGUUGGGUAAGUCUGAUGUGAAAGCCCCGGGCUCAACCUGGGAAUGGCAUUGGAAACUGGCUGGCUAGAGUGUGGCAGAGGGGGGUGGAAUUCCGCGUGUAGCAGUGAAAUGCGUAGAGAUGCGGAGGAACACCGAUGGCGAAGGCAGCCCCCUGGGCUAGCACUGACGCUCAGGCACGAAAGCGUGGGGAGCAAACAGG